This 3103-nucleotide long non-coding RNA is filed under the name Coffea arabica (coffee). RNAcentral's name for it is "long non-coding RNA (CARA_LNC006257)". Lineage: Eukaryota; Viridiplantae; Streptophyta; Magnoliopsida; Gentianales; Rubiaceae. The record is from RNAcentral.
CUUCGUAAGGAUAUAUCCACUGUAUGUUGUGAUGCACAAGGUAGGACAAGCAAUGCUAACACCUAAAAACUUACAUGAUGGCUCUUAGUCAAAGGAGUUUUAUGCUAAAAGGUUUGAGGUUCAUCAGUUACAAACAGCAUCCCCUUACAGAAUCUCCAUGGUUGAUCAUCUGGUGUCCCAGAGCUCUCGACUUCUUCUAUUGUUUCUCUCGCUUUGAGUGGGUGGAGUCGUCCUUCAAAAUAUCUUGCACAGCACAAGUUUUGCUGCCUGUCAGAAGAAAGACAAUGCCAUUAAUUAUGAGAAUAUAGCACAACUUUGAAGGUAAGUUCGAGUCAAAGGAAAAGGCAGAAGUACAAAAACAUUUUCUUAUGGGAAUUUAGAUAUAAGGGAACUAAUUUGACAUAGAAAAAGAAACAUCAAGUCAUGGAAGAGGAUAAGCAUAUGUUUAAUUUGAUCAUCCACUGCAGUUGCUGCAUCAAAUGUGGGAUUUACGCUGUAUCUUUGCAUGCACAGUCAGUUCUUUUCCCUCAAGUUGCGUUCCACAAUAGUAUAUGAACUCUUUUUUGCGGCCUUCCACCAUGCCACGAACAUGGAUUCCCAGUUUUGAUUUAGGGCCUCAGUAAGCAUCUCCAUUAAACAGAUUACAGUUUGUUGGCUUCAUGGUGUUAAAAAACCAUCUUUUCACAUUACCAUAACUAAUAAUAUCCGCACAAAUAAAAGAAAAAAGUCGCAAAAAUAAAAACAAACACCCGUGCAGCAGAUGAAUGACAAAGUGCAUAAACUUUCACUGAUAAAAGAAUAUCUAUGAUUAGUCAAACAUGUUCUACCCAAUUUGCUUCAAUUUCUCUUUUUAGUAACAAGUAAUUUGUUAUUGGUUUUAGAAUAAGAAAAGCCAAAUUAUGCAGCACAUUGACAAAUAGAGUUUAGGAACUGCCAGAGUUACAAAGUUGGUGCUCACUCCACCUACGUGAUCCCUUUCAAAUGGUAAAUUAUCAAGAAAACUCAAUGGCCAAGAAAAUAUGAAACAUGUAAGAUAAUUGUGAAGUUGAGCAAGAUGCUCCAUAAGCUAAUUAUGAUAGUCCAAAGAUCUCUUAAUUCUUUUCUUUUUACAAAGUAGCAUGUACUAUGUUUCUUCCCUUUCUCACGUUGCAGCAAUUGAUCAAAAAGGGAAGCAGAAAGUGAUAUUAUAAGAACUACACAAAGCAUCAUCUUGCCACCUUUCUGGAGACUGAUCAGACUGUCUUUUACAAAUGGCUUAAAAAGGGCUUUUCAAGUUUUUCUUACUUUUUAUUCCUCAAUCGCAGCUCAAGCAUAUUUCCUGCAGAGCUACGGUCCUAGCAGAAAAUCAUUCCCUUCCCGGAGUGCAACAAGAAUCACAUGCUGAAGCUUGAUUAACAAAGAAAGAUAAACAGCAGGAAAAACCCUGAAGAUGAAAUGUAGUUAAUGAAGAAAAUGCAUAAAAUAAGGCAAAGAAGAAAUCUUCAAGACAAAAUUAGAUUAGAUGUUACAUAAAAAUUGAUCUCUAAUACUUGUUGGAGCUAUUAUGGGCUCUAGUUGAGUCCACUAAAUUUAAGGAAGACUAAAAUCCAGGACAAAUUUGAAAGAUUUGGAGAUUGGUUACCAUGUAUGAUCUAGAACAUUUCCGCUGGUAAGAAGUUUCAACAAACAAAGAUACUGUUCAUGCUUCAUAGCUGUUAUUAGGUUUCUAAAAAUGUGACCUAGGAGUCAAUGCACCGGGAGUGAAACAAAGGAGAACAUAGAAAUUAAGUAAAUAAGAAAAACAUUUACAACAGAGUGAUGUUUCAGAUAAAGAAUUUGAGUGGCAUUUGUAUCUCCAACCUUACCAAGAGGAAAAGAGAUGUGAAGACUAGUGUUUUAAACUUCUCCAACCUCAAGCUAUCUUUGAGCUCUGACGUUGUAAAGCUAUGUGUUCUGUAACCCUGUGCCAGGAGAAAAGAAGCUUAAAAGGAAAAUGCCAAUGUUUUUUCUUUUACCAACUAGAAAUAAGUGACUGGGAAAUAUACUAGACUAAGAUCUCAUUUGGUGUAAGAAAGAUUCUUAGACUUCCCAAUUACCAAUCAGAUAAUCUGCAUUCUUGCAGAACAUAAUAAGUCUCUCCAAUUUUUUGACCCUAAUUUUUAUACAAUCCUAAUCCAGCAAACCCUUCACAAAGACAUAUAGAUAGUUCUACCUAUCCCCCAAAAAGACGGAAAAAAACCAUAUAGACUGCCUAAAGAAAUGCAAGAGAUAGAAACAGUAAAAUAAUCAGACCACAAAAUAUAGAUUGUUACCUAACUGGCAAUGAUCUGAUAUACAUGCCCACCCAUACACUUCUGAACUGAUCUAUCAGAUUCAACAGCCGAAUACCAUUCGAUCUUGACAGUAAAUAUCCUCUCAACAUUCUUAUAGACUUUUAACCUUACUUUCAGGGUUUUUAAAUUAGGCUUAGAAUUCCUUUCUUGCUCCAUCUUGUCAAGUACUUAUCCUAAAGAAAAGGGAUUCAAGAGCACAAAUUUAAUCAUUUCGUAUUGGAUUUAUAUGACCAGGAUUCUUAUACACAGCUAGGAGGCAAUCAUAAACGUAUAAUUAAGCCAAAAAUAGUUGAUUUAUAUCAACAGGCAUGCCAAAGAAAAAACAUCAAGAAUCAAAAUAAUUCACUUAAAUCACAUAUUGCUCGUAAAAAACAUUAUAAGCUAUCAACCAAGUUCUCAAGAUAUGAGAUCCCUCUAAAAUAAAGGACAUGCAACUCAAUAAUCAGAAUUAAAAUCCCAGAAAAUGAGUAAAACCCCCCAAACAAGAACUGCAUGUUAAUUUACGGAUACAAAAAUGGGAAAAAGUUCAUAUUACCAAAUGCGAGUAGAUCAGGGUCAAUUCCAAAUAACAUUAGCUGUGGGAAUGAGGUCCUGAAAACAUUCAUGUCGACUCAGGAUUUUAUUCGUCAAGAAACCAAGCAGUUCAGCAUCAGUAGGGUCAAAGUCGACCCCAAAAUCAGCUAAGUUCCCAUUGCCACCAUCAUUACCUCCUGCUGGUGCUGGCCAUUACUUUUUGUGAGUUUUCUGAGUUGAAGAAGAAGAAAUUAAAAGUGAGUUUUCUGUCGAGGUAG